AUCCAGCUGAUGAGUCUCAAGUAGGACGAAAUGCGCGUUCUGGAU
Non-coding RNA from Schistosoma haematobium, 45 nucleotides. The record is from Rfam. Lineage: Eukaryota; Metazoa; Platyhelminthes; Trematoda; Strigeidida; Schistosomatidae.